RNAcentral lists this ribosomal RNA (634 nucleotides) under uncultured Sebacinaceae. RNAcentral's name for it is "eukaryotic LSU rRNA". The stretch from base 230 to 383 matches the Rfam family "5.8S ribosomal RNA". Lineage: Eukaryota; Fungi; Basidiomycota; Agaricomycetes; Sebacinales; Sebacinaceae. The record is from RNAcentral.
UAGGUGAACCUGCGGAAGGAUCAUUAAUGAAACUUCAAAGUCGGCUUUUUGUCGUCUGUGCUGGUGGAGACACAUGUGCACGUCGACAGAGAGUCGCAAAAUCCACACACCUGUGCAUCUAUGACUCUGAGCACCGCUUUGCAUGGCUCCUCAUUGGGCCUGGUACUCGAGUACUUUACACACUCUGAAUGUAACGGAAUGUCUAUUUGUACAAUGUACAACUAAAAACAACUUUCAACAACGGAUCUCUUGGCUCUCGCAUCGAUGAAGAACGCAGCGAAAUGCGAUAAGUAAUGUGAAUUGCAGAAUUCAGUGAAUCAUCGAAUCUUUGAACGCACCUUGCACCCUUUGGUAUUCCGAAGGGUACACCCGUUUGAGUGUCAUUGUAAUCUCACCUCUUCGACUUUUGUCGAUCAGUGUGGACUUGGAUGUUGCCGUGUAACAAGCGGCUCGUCUGAAAUGCCUGAGUGUACCCUGCUUUGCGGCGUAUUCGGUGUGAUAAAUCUUCACCGGAGUCUGACUUUCGAGUCGCGCUUGUAUCGUAUGGCUCUGUGCUUCCAACUGUCCUAACAAGACAAUCUCUGACAAUUUGACCUCAAAUCGGGUGGGACUACCCGCUGAACUUAAGCAUAUC